CAGCCGCGCGGUAAUACGAAGGGUGCAAGCGUUACUCGGAAUUACUGGGCGUAAAGCGUGCGUAGGUGGUGGUUUAAGUCCGUUGUGAAAGCCCUGGGCUCAACCUGGGAAUUGCAGUGGAUACUGGGUCACUAGAGUGUGGUAGAGGAUAGUGGAAUUUCCGGUGUAGCAGUGAAAUGCGUAGAGAUCGGAAGGAACAUCUGUGGCGAAGGCGACUAUCUGGGCCAACACUGACACUGAGGCACGAAAGCGUGGGGAGCAAACAGGAUUAGAUACCCCAGUAGUCCCUGUCUCUUAUACA
This 301-nucleotide ribosomal RNA is filed under the name uncultured bacterium. RNAcentral describes it as "partial 16S ribosomal RNA". It matches the Rfam family "Bacterial small subunit ribosomal RNA", at positions 509 to 808 of the family's 1533-position model. The record is from RNAcentral.